CAUGUCUAAGUAUAAGCAAUCUAUACUGUGAAACUGCGAAUGGCUCAUUAAAUCAGUUAUCGUUUAUUUGAUAGUACCUUACUACAUGGAUACCUGUGGUAAUUCUAGAGCUAAUACAUGCUAAAAACCCCGACUUCGGGAGGGGUGUAUUUAUUAGAUAAAAAACCAAUGCCCCUCGGGGCUCCUUGGUGAAUCAUAAUAACUUAACGAAUCGCAUGGCCUUGCGCCGGCGAUGGUUCAUUCAAAUUUCUGCCCUAUCAACUUUCGAUGGUAGGAUAGUGGCCUACCAUGGUGGCAACGGGUAACGGGGAAUUAGGGUUCGAUUCCGGAGAGGGAGCCUGAGAAACGGCUACCACAUCCAAGGAAGGCAGCAGGCGCGCAAAUUACCCAAUCCCGACACGGGGAGGUAGUGACAAUAAAUACUGAUACGGGGCUCUUUUGGGUCUCGUAAUUGGAAUGAGUACAAUCUAAAUCCCUUAACGAGGAACAAUUGGAGGGCAAGUCUGGUGCCAGCAGCCGCGGUAAUUCCAGCUCCAAUAGCGUAUAUUAAAGUUGUUGCAGUUAAAAAGCUCGUAGUUGAACCUUGGGUCUGGCUGGCCGGUCCGCCUCACCGCGAGUACUGGUCCGGCUGGACCUUUCCUUCUGGGGAAUCCCAUGGCCUUCACUGGCUGUGGGUGGAACCAGGACUUUUACUGUGAAAAAAUUAGAGUGUUCAAAGCAGGCCUUUGCUCGAAUACAUUAGCAUGGAAUAAUAGAAUAGGACGUGCGGUUCUAUUUUGUUGGUUUCUAGGACCGCCGUAAUGAUUAAUAGGGAUAGUCGGGGGCGUCAGUAUUCAGCUGUCAGAGGUGAAAUUCUUGGAUUUGCUGAAGACUAACUACUGCGAAAGCAUUCGCCAAGGAUGUUUUCAUUAAUCAGGGAACGAAAGUUAGGGGAUCGAAGACGAUCAGAUACCGUCGUAGUCUUAACCAUAAACUAUGCCGACUAGGGAUCGGGCGGCGUUUCUAUGAUGACCCGCUCGGCACCUUACGAGAAAUCAAAGUUUUUGGGUUCUGGGGG
This 1057-nucleotide ribosomal RNA is filed under the name Aspergillus sydowii. Its description in RNAcentral is "SSU rRNA". It matches the Rfam family "Eukaryotic small subunit ribosomal RNA", at positions 54 to 1120 of the family's 1831-position model. Lineage: Eukaryota; Fungi; Ascomycota; Eurotiomycetes; Eurotiales; Aspergillaceae. The record is from RNAcentral.